Molecule: ribosomal RNA, 500 nt
Filed under: uncultured bacterium
Lineage: Bacteria
Description: partial 16S ribosomal RNA
Rfam family: Bacterial small subunit ribosomal RNA
Source: RNAcentral
GACGAACGCUGGCGGCGUGCUUAACACAUGCAAGUCGAACGGGUCUGCCCUGUUUUUUGCGGGGUGGGUCAGCGGCGAACGGGUGAGUAACACGUGAGUAACCUGCCCCUCACUUCUGGAUAACCGCUUGAAAGGGUGGCUAAUACGGGGUGUUCUGGCUGUGCCGCAUGGUGUGGCUGGGAAAGAUUCACUUUUGUGGUGUUUUGGUGGGGGAUGGGCUCGCGGCCUAUCAGCUUGUUGGUGGGGUGAUGGCCUGCCAAGGCUUUGACGGGUAGCCGGCCUGGGAGGGUGGGCGGUCACACUGGGACUGAGAUACGGCCCAGACUCCUGCGGGAGGCAGCAGUGGGGGGUAUUGCACAAUGGGCGGAAGCCUGAUGCAGCGACGUCGCGUGAGGGAUGGAGGCCUUCGGGUUGUGAACCUCUUUCGCCGGUGAAGAAGGUCCUGCUCUUUGUGGUGGGGUUGACGGUAGCCGGGUUAUGAAGCGCCGGCUAACUACGUG